This 72-nucleotide transfer RNA is filed under the name Actinomycetes bacterium. RNAcentral's name for it is "Actinobacteria bacterium tRNA-Lys". It matches the Rfam family "tRNA". Rfam says of the family: Transfer RNA (tRNA) molecules are approximately 80 nucleotides in length. Their secondary structure includes four short double-helical elements and three loops (D, anti-codon, and T loops). RNAcentral also lists the same sequence under 1 other name. Lineage: Bacteria; Bacillati; Actinomycetota; Actinomycetes. The record is from RNAcentral.
GCCCCCGUAGCUCAGUGGUAGAGCAGCGGACUUUUAAUCCGUGGCGCGCCGGUUCGACCCCGGCCGGGGGCA